GCAGCGAUGUUCGAGUGGUUAAGGAGAUUGAGAUGAAAUCAAUUCGGCUCUGAUCGCCUAGGUUCGAAUCCUGCUCGCUGCG
Molecule: non-coding RNA, 82 nt
Organism: Angiostrongylus costaricensis
Lineage: Eukaryota; Metazoa; Nematoda; Chromadorea; Rhabditida; Metastrongylidae
Source: Rfam